This 254-nucleotide ribosomal RNA is filed under the name uncultured bacterium. RNAcentral's name for it is "partial 16S ribosomal RNA". It matches the Rfam family "Bacterial small subunit ribosomal RNA", at positions 524 to 776 of the family's 1533-position model. The record is from RNAcentral.
GACGAACCGUGCGAACGUUAUUCGGAAUUACUGGGCUUAAAGCGCGUGUAGGCGGGCCGGCACGUCCGACGCUGAAAUCCCCCGGCUCAACCGGGAAAGUGGCGGGGAUACGACCGGCCUCGAGGGGGGUAGGGGGACCUGGAACUUCCGGUGGAGCGGUGAAAUGCGUUGAGAUCGGAAGGAACGCCCGUGGCGAAAGCGAGGUCCUGGACCCUUUCUGACGCUGAGACGCGAAAGCCAGGGGAGCGAACGGG